This 499-nucleotide ribosomal RNA is filed under the name uncultured bacterium. RNAcentral's name for it is "partial 16S ribosomal RNA". It matches the Rfam family "Bacterial small subunit ribosomal RNA", at positions 28 to 507 of the family's 1533-position model. The record is from RNAcentral.
GACGAACGCUGGCGGCGUGCUUAACACAUGCAAGUCGAACGGGCCCGCCCCUGUUUUUGGGGGUGGGUUGAGUGGCGAACGGGUGAGUAUCACGUGAGUAACCUGCCCCCUGCUCCUGGAUAACUGCUUGAAAGGGCGGCUAAUACGGGGUGUGCCGGCUGGUCCGCAUGGGCCUGGUCGGGAUAGUUUCAUCUUCGGGUGUUUCGGUGGGGGAUGGGCUCGCGGCCUAUCAGCUUGUUGGUGGGGUGAUGGCCCACCAAGGCGGUGACGGGUAGCCGGCCUGAGAGGGUGGGCGGCCACACUGGGACUGAGACACGGCCCAGACGCCUGCGGGAGACAGCAGUGGGGGGUAUUGCACAAUGGGCGGAAGCCUGAUGCAGCGACGUCGCGUGAGGGAUGGAGGCCUUCGGGUUGUGAACCUCUUUCUCCGGUGGUGAAGGCCCUGUCCGUUGCGGCGGGGUUGACGGUAGCCGGGUAUGAAGCGCCGGCUAACUACGUG